AGCGAACGCUGGCGGCAGGCCUAACACAUGCAAGUCGAACGAACCUUUCGGGGUUAGUGGCGGACGGGUGAGUAACACGUGGGAACGUGCCUUUAGGUUCGGAAUAACUCAGGGAAACUUGUGCUAAUACCGAAUGUGCCCUUCGGGUGAAAGAUUAAUCGCCUUUAGAGCGGCCCGCGUCUGAUUAGCUAGUUGGUUGAGGUAAUGGCUCACCAAGGCGACGAUCAGUAGCUGGUCUGAGAGGAUGAUCAGCCACAUUGGGACUGAGACACGGCCCAAACUCCUACGGGAGGCAGCAGUGGGGAAUCUUGCGCAAUGGGCGAAAGCCUGACGCAGCCAUGCCGCGUGAAUGAUGAAGGUCUUAGGAUUGUAAAAUUCUUUCACCGGGGACGAUAAUGACGGUACCCGGAGAAGAAGCCCCGGCUAACUUCGUG
This 434-nucleotide ribosomal RNA is filed under the name uncultured bacterium. Its description in RNAcentral is "partial 16S ribosomal RNA". It matches the Rfam family "Bacterial small subunit ribosomal RNA", at positions 29 to 507 of the family's 1533-position model. The record is from RNAcentral.